Molecule: ribosomal RNA, 472 nt
Filed under: uncultured organism
Description: partial 16S ribosomal RNA
Rfam family: Bacterial small subunit ribosomal RNA
Source: RNAcentral
CACUCCUACGGGAGGCAGCAGUGGGGAAUUUUGGACAAUGGGGGCAACCCUGAUCCAGCAAUGCCGCGUGAGUGAAGAAGGCCUUCGGGUUGUAAAGCUCUUUUGUCAGGGAAGAAACGGUGGUGGCGAAUAACUACUACUAAUGACGGUACCUGAAGAAUAAGCACCGGCUAACUACGUGCCAGCAGCCGCGGUAAUACGUAGGGUGCAAGCGUUAAUCGGAAUUACUGGGCGUAAAGCGUGCGCAGGCGGUUGUGUAAGUCAGAUGUGAAAUCCCCGGGCUCAACCUGGGAAUUGCAUUUGAGACUGCACGGCUAGAGUGUGUCAGAGGGGGGUAGAAUUCCACGUGUAGCAGUGAAAUGCGUAGAUAUGUGGAGGAAUACCGAUGGCGAAGGCAGCCCCCUGGGAUAACACUGACGCUCAUGCACGAAAGCGUGGGGAGCAAACAGGAUUAGAUACCCUAGUAGUCCCA